RNAcentral lists this microRNA (21 nucleotides) under Zea mays. Its description in RNAcentral is "microRNA miR-3056". Lineage: Eukaryota; Viridiplantae; Streptophyta; Magnoliopsida; Poales; Poaceae. The record is from RNAcentral.
UGUGUUUGGCAAUUUAGGAAC